Molecule: non-coding RNA, 1682 nt
Organism: Camellia sinensis
Lineage: Eukaryota; Viridiplantae; Streptophyta; Magnoliopsida; Ericales; Theaceae
Source: RefSeq, a predicted model, not a curated record
UAAUUGUGACUUUUCAUUUUAAAACAAAACACCUAUAAAUAUGAAUAAUGGUGACCUUUUUUGUAUAAAUUUACAUAUAUGAAUAGAAUUUUUUAUUUUUAUUUCCACAAUCAUUUUUUUUUCUCGUCUAUUCACCCACAUUUAUUACAAAAUUACCAAAUAUCGCCAUUCACUUAAAAUCUAACCAGCCACCCUAUGGUGGUGUUUGGGAAGGAAAGUUGAGGCUAAAUUAGCCACAUGUGGACAAAAGAGGCUUAUUUAGCCACAUGACGACAAAAACGCUUGAACAAGUUGGAGAGGAACCCUUCUUCGGGUAAAUUUACCAAAAUACCCUGAAAUAUCCCUCUGAUUCAUUUCGCCCAACGCCUCACCACACACACAACCUUCCUAGGGCACAGAAGAAGCGAAUGAGGCGAUUAAUGGCAACCAGCGGCGACGACGUGUGAGGCAGCUUCGCAGAGGCGAUCUGCACUGAAGUACCCAUCUGCGACGGCGAAGACAACUCGCGAACAGGUCGGCAAAUCGAAUGGUUGGGGCGUACGUUGGCAGCGGCGAACAAGAACGAACCCUCUCAAGCACCGCCGAUCUUCAGAUAAAUCAAGCAGUCUUGAAGAGACACAGAAUCAGUUCAGCCACAAGGCCUCAUGGGAUAGUGACUCAAUUCUAGUUUUCCUACAGCUGAUUGCAAAUGAGAUUACAAAAGGAAAUCGACCAUUCUUAGUCCUCAGCCAAGCAGGGUACAAGUCCUUUGCAAAGAAAUUUGAGAAAAAAACAGGAAGAAAGCAUGGCCUCAAACAGUUGAAGAAUAAAUACAUGAGUUUGAAAAAAGUGGCAAGCGUGGACAAAGUUGAUGGAUUCAAGCAAAGGAGUGUCAGGGAUAGAGUUUGACAGUGACACCAGUAUGUUUCAGGCACCUGAGGAGUGGUGGGAUAAGAUGGAAUCAAUAAACAAGGUGUGUGCCAAGUUCAGGAAAAAAACUCUGGAACAUCGUGACUUGAUAGAGACGGUCUUCAUGGGGGCAUCUGCUACUGGUAAGCACCAUUGGACACCGGAAGAGAAAUUUGCUGAAGAGGCCGAUGACUAAUCUGAUUCUGUGCGUAGUCUGAGAGCGUAGCCAUUUGCUGAUCCGAUACCUGCAAGAGUACAGGACGUAGAUUCAGAUUCUUCACUGGAACCAGUUGUGGUUGAAAAGGGAAAAAGGAGAAAGACGCCAUCAACAAGUGUUUCAAAGUCCAAGAAGGCAACAAGUGGAGCGUCUGUUAUUGCAGAAAUCAUGAACAAUCUAACAGAUGUGGUGCGUACCAAAAAUCAGCAGGUCACGGUGAGGCACCUCACAGGUAACGAAUCGAUGUACACUAUCUCAGAGCGCAUGCAUCGCCUGCUGACUAUUCCAUCCCUUGUUGGUACGUCGCUAUUUCAUUUCGCCUUGACCCUUAUGGAUAACGCAGAUUACCAGGAGGUGAUGAUGUGUUAGCCUAAUGAUGACCACAUUAUAAGGUGGCUUACACAGAAGUAGCUCUAGUGUAUUGCGUCGGCGUCAUUUGUGAACCUUUUUGGGGCUCGCCGGAUGUGUGUAGACGUGCCCCGAGAACUCCCGAGAGAAUCUCGUUUUGUUCUUUAGCUACUACAGUUCGGACUCAAAUGUCACGAUUCUGAAUCUAAUCCCACAAAGUACAAUGCAA